RNAcentral lists this unclassified non-coding RNA (4204 nucleotides) under Lytechinus variegatus (green sea urchin). RNAcentral's name for it is "uncharacterized LOC121418312, transcript variant X3". The record is from RNAcentral. Lineage: Eukaryota; Metazoa; Echinodermata; Echinoidea; Temnopleuroida; Toxopneustidae.
ACAAAAAGUAGACAGAGGUCUCAGAACCCACGUCUCAUUACAAAAGUAGACAGAGGUCUCAGAACCCACGUCUCAUCACAGAAGUAGGCAGAGGUCUCGGUACCCACGCCUCAUCCGAUCCCACAGCCAUAACCAGACGGAGGUACGUUUCAGGCCCCACGUCUAUAUUAUCCACCAUAAUGAGCCAAACAACUGGAUCGAAAGACUCUCCCCGUCAGGGCCCCAAUCAAGCCAGUAAUAACACUUCCCAGAACAAUACGAAAGAGGAUGGAGCUAUGAAAGAUGAUGGAGGAAAGAAAACCCCCAAUAUAGCCAGGUCUAAACGAGGUGCAGGGUUCAAAAUCCCCCUCAAAGGAAAAGUCAAGACCCCCUCCCAGGCCAAACCCAAGGGGAAGACAGCUAAAACCCCUACUCCGGACGAAUUAACCCUCGGGACGUCCGUCACCUUACUGGGAAAGAUACCGAAGGUUAAGGGGGCCGAGUUUUCUAUGGACGACUCGGAUAAAUUCGAGACGAUUCCCGUCACCAAGAAAGCGAAGAUGGGGAAUCAGGGAAGGAUGUAAAAACGGGUUUUCAUCCCCCUGACGACACGGACAUUGCCUCGGCGGCAUGGUUCAUGAAGAUGUUCCAGGCGGCGCAAAAAUGUAUGAACUUGUCGAAUCAGCCGAUUGCAGGCGACACCAGCGCCCCUACCAGAUCAGCGGCGCAGACCAAAACUCUGCCCGACAGCCCAGGCGCCCCGACGCCGGACGGGCCGCUGAGGCGUGACGGAGUACCGGCGAAGCGGCCACGGCCAGGACAACGGGACAUUGAAAGCCGUACUCGGGGGAGAAGCCCGAGUACCUGUCAUGCUCCCUCUAUUGAUAUAAAUGAGGAUGAUUCAAACUCUGAAUAUGGCUACCAUCGGCCCAUAGCAUCCCGCAAGCGAAAAUGGGCAGACUCUUUGCUGUCUCAACUUUCCACUUCAGGAUCAGAGAGACAGAGCAUUGCUAGCGGUCGUUAUGAGAAGGAGGGGGUUUCAGUGAUUAGUGAGGGUUUUUCUUCAGCUAUUUUUGCUUCCAGCCCCAGCUCUCGCCAUGAUAGCGUAGAAAGCAAGCCUGUUUCGGCUGCAGAUUUGAUUACGAAAUACUGCCCCCAGCUUAAGGCAGAUACUACCGACUCAGAGGAAUCUAAGCCUAUUUUCUGUCUCGAUUCGGAGCUUGGGAGACAAUCUGUCAACUCAGCUGCGGUGAAGCUUGACAAACCCUUCUCAUCCUGCCUGAAUUACCUUAAUGACAGGGGAAGGGACUUACGUCCUACCAACAGAGUGGUUAAGAAGCACUUUCGCUUUGGGGAACGAGACUUUAAGCACGCUUUCAAGACUCCCACAGUCCCAGAUGCAGCCUUUUGUGUUGGUGAUGCUAAGGCUAAGAGAUCGCGCUACUCUAAUCAGAAUCCACUCGGGUCACGUAGAUUUAAGCGUAUGGAGAGUCAGUUGACCUCUAUUGACCAGGCAGCCAGGGCAUCUAUGCGCCUAGCAACCUAUCACACAUAUCUUUUGACAGCCUUUCGGGAAUCUGAGAGACUAGGUAUCUCCCCAGAGGAUCGCAGAGACAUAUGGGAGUGUGUUAUGAAGAUUGCAGAAUACCAGUUUGAACAGGCGUCGAGAACGGCCAUACUUUGCACGAGAGCAAGACGUUCACAGGUCAUUGACCUACUUCAGAUUGAAAAAAAUGCUACUCGACUACUCGAAAGACUGCCAGCCUGGGGGGAUGACCUUUUCAGUGGUCGUUUUCAGGAAGUUUUAGAAUCUUCCAUCUCUGCCUCUUCCACGGCUGAUAAGACAGUGUACAGGUUGUCUUCACAUUCUUAUGGCCAACGUUCCUCCUCACGUCAGCAGGCCUCUGGGCCGAGUAACCAGCAACCGCAGGACCCCCCACAACGCGAGGUCAGGGAUAGGAGCCCCCAGACCAAUCAAAGGACCCCUACACCCUUUCGGGGUCGACGCAGAUUGUCCCGCGGUUCUCAGUACCCCCUAAACACUUGUGACUCCUUGGCCGGACCGUUUUCCCCAGACUUACACGCCCCCGUAGGAGGAAGGCUCAUUUUCUUUGCAAAAAAUUGGAGCCUCAUAACAAGAGACAAAUUAAUUCUCAGGAUAGUGUGGGAGGGAUAUCGGGUCGAGAUCGACCCAGAUUAUCGGGAUGCGUUCGCACAAUUAACCAAACCUCUGCCCUCCCCCACUCUCUCGAAACGAGAGAGGCUCUUUUAAGGGAAAUCAACGAACUGGAGAGAAAGCGUGCAAUUUCCAAGGUGCCCUCCAGCCGAAAGAUUGUUUUGUCAAAUGUCUUCCUUAUUCGGAAACGGUCCGGAAAAUUCAGGAUGAUCCUGAAUCUAAAGAAACUAAACAGGUUCAUCGAAAACAAGUCAUUCAAGAUGGAAUGCCUCUCCAAGAUCCUGCCCCUGCUUCGCCCCCACGAGUGGGCGGCAUCUAUAGACUUAUCGGACGCGUAUCUUCACGUUCCAAUAGCAAGGUCCUCUCAGCAUCUCCUAGGUUUCGCAAUAGGAGGGGACACUUACCAGUACCAGGCCCUCCCUUUCGGCCUUCGCUCUGCUCCUCGCAUCUUUACAAGGCUCGUCAGGGUAAUUGCUGCAGAGCUAAGAAGAAGAGGGGAAAAAUUUUUUUGCUAUCUGGACGAUUGGUUGAUCCUCGCCCCCUCAGAACAAACCCUUCUCAGACACUUGAAGGUCACAAUCGCGUUAACGUCAAAUUUAGGCCUUCUCAUAAACUGGGAAAAAUCAAGAUUGACUCCAACUCAGACUCCGGAUUUCCUUGGAGCAUUUAUAGACAUCCCGAGUCAGGUGGCAGCCCCCCUUCCCCUCCGGGUUCAGAGAAUGAGAGCAGUCGCGGAGCAACUCCUGUCCAGUCGUCUCUCGACUGCGAAGACUUGGCAGAUUUUUCUGGGACUCUUAGCAAGCUUAGUGAAUACAGUUCCCCCUUGCAGACUGAGGAUGAAUUUUCACAUAAACGGUUUGGAGAUGAUUGCGGUGCAGUUAGCCCUCCAACACUUUGCAUCCGAGAUAGUGGAAAAGUGUGUCCUGAUAAAGUCAGACAACCAGACGGUGGUAACAUAUCACAUAGCAGACUUCUUAUCGAGGGGGCGCUAUCUCCCCUCGGAAUGGAUGCUCCACGAGGCUGUGGCCAGGGAGAUAUUCAAUCAUUUCGGCAACCCACAGAUAGAUCUAUUUGCCUCAACACUACCAGGGACCCAGCACUACUACCCCGAGCCCAACAAACUGAGGCUCACACUGUGGCCCAUUACAGGGCAGCAGCAAUCAAGGCUGGACUUUCUGAACGGGCUGCCAAUUUCUCAGCAGAACGUUUACGGUCUUCCACACGAUCAACCUACGACUCCAGACUCAGUCACUAUGUGAGAUGGUGUCGGCAGGCUAAGACUAAUCCAUGCAGGGCAUCUGUAGGGCUGUCUCGCCGGAUACUAUCUCUCGUUGGAUUGUGGAGGCAGUGAAAUCUGCUGGUGAUCCAGUCAUCAUUCACCAGAAAGUUAGAGCCCAUGACACAAGAGGAUUGGCUGCUUCCUGGGCCUUAUUCAAGGGCGUACCCAUGGAGGAUAUAAUGAAAGCGGCAUAUUGGUCCAACGCUAAUACAUUCACAUCCUGCUACCUCUCGGAUGUCCUCGGUGAUGAAUCCAAGUUUGCGAGGGCCACCCUGUCCGGUCCCCAUCGCUAAUCCAAGGUAUGAGUUUAACUUUACAAGCUUGUCAUUAGUAUCUUGUAUAAUAGAAUUGAUCUGUAGGGCCUCUUGGCUUUGACCUUUGGCCUGACCACCUCCCAUAGUUGUUUCCGUGGGAAUCUGGCAUUUAAGGGAAUAGGUAAGUAUGGCGUAUCUGAAGUAGAUUAUGUUGUUCAGUAGUGAACACCAUAUCUACGAAGUAGCCAUACUUACCUAUGCUACCCUCCCACCUCCCCUCUUUCUGUAUCUGAGGUUCGUUUGCCUAAGAAAGAGGAAGUGAGCCACGCACGCAAGGUACUUAUAGUAUAGGGCGGGGUUUCCCUCCUUGUCGUGCGGGGCUCUAGUCUGCGUUGCAGACUUUUUCUCCUUUUAUAGGAGAAAUUUUUGCCGGGUGUAUUCGAGCAUGGCGAUCGAAUGGCAUUUAAGGGAAUAGGUAAGUAUGGCUACUUCGUAGAUAUGGUGUUCACUACUGAA